AGAUGGUCCCCGAGUCCCCAAUGAAAGGAUUCCGCAGCGAGGCCUCUAUUAUUAUACCGUAAAUCUUUUUAAAUUCUGGAACUAAUUAUAUAGAGGAUAUGUCUCAAUUUGUUCUGCAUUAAUGCCACAGUGGGGAUAGAGGCCAGGCCGUGGCCAGAGCAGAUACGUAGGCCCAUGAAAUUGAUGAACUGAGAGUUGCUUCCAGUCCUGGGCGCACCAUCUGGAAUUCCAGUCUGAGGUUACAAUUAGAACUCCUGACCCCAGAUUCAACUUUGCAAACAAC
This is an unclassified non-coding RNA of Dipodomys ordii (Ord's kangaroo rat), 283 nucleotides long. Ensembl annotates it as predicted gene, 56384. The record is from Ensembl. NCBI's taxonomy places the organism in Eukaryota, Metazoa, Chordata, Mammalia, Rodentia, Heteromyidae.